GGGUUGUGAGGUUAAGCGACUAAGCGUACACGGUGGAUGCCCUGGCAGUCAGAGGCGAUGAAGGACGUGCUAAUCUGCGAUAAGCGUCGGUAAGGUGAUAUGAACCGUUAUAACCGGCGAUUUCCGAAUGGGGAAACCCAGUGUGUUUCGACACACUAUCAUUAACUGAAUCCAUAGGUUAAUGAGGCGAACCGGGGGAACUGAAACAUCUAAGUACCCCGAGGAAAAGAAAUCAACCGAGAUUCCCCCAGUAGCGGCGAGCGAACGGGGAGCAGCCCAGAGCCUGAAUCAGUGUGUGUGUUAGUGGAAGCGUCUGGAAAGGCGCGCGAUACAGGGUGACAGCCCCGUACACAAAAAUGCACAUGCUGUGAGCUCGAUGAGUAGGGCGGGACACGUGGUAUCCUGUCUGAAUAUGGGGGGACCAUCCUCCAAGGCUAAAUACUCCUGACUGACCGAUAGUGAACCAGUACCGUGAGGGAAAGGCGAAAAGAACCCCGGCGAGGGGAGUGAAAAAGAACCUGAAACCGUGUACGUACAAGCAGUGGGAGCACGCUUAGGCGUGUGACUGCGUACCUUUUGUAUAAUGGGUCAGCGACUUAUAUUCUGUAGCAAGGUUAACCGAAUAGGGGAGCCGAAGGGAAACCGAGUCUUAACUGGGCGUUAAGUUGCAGGGUAUAGACCCGAAACCCGGUGAUCUAGCCAUGGGCAGGUUGAAGGUUGGGUAACACUAACUGGAGGACCGAACCGACUAAUGUUGAAAAAUUAGCGGAUGACUUGUGGCUGGGGGUGAAAGGCCAAUCAAACCGGGAGAUAGCUGGUUCUCCCCGAAAGCUAUUUAGGUAGCGCCUCGUGAAUUCAUCUCCGGGGGUAGAGCACUGUUUCGGCAAGGGGGUCAUCCCGACUUACCAACCCGAUGCAAACUGCGAAUACCGGAGAAUGUUAUCACGGGAGACACACGGCGGGUGCUAACGUCCGUCGUGAAGAGGGAAACAACCCAGACCGCCAGCUAAGGUCCCAAAGUCAUGGUUAAGUGGGAAACGAUGUGGGAAGGCCCAGACAGCCAGGAUGUUGGCUUAGAAGCAGCCAUCAUUUAAAGAAAGCGUAAUAGCUCACUGGUCGAGUCGGCCUGCGCGGAAGAUGUAACGGGGCUAAACCAUGCACCGAAGCUGCGGCAGCGACACUAUGUGUUGUUGGGUAGGGGAGCGUUCUGUAAGCCUGUGAAGGUGUGCUGUGAGGCAUGCUGGAGGUAUCAGAAGUGCGAAUGCUGACAUAAGUAACGAUAAAGCGGGUGAAAAGCCCGCUCGCCGGAAGACCAAGGGUUCCUGUCCAACGUUAAUCGGGGCAGGGUGAGUCGACCCCUAAGGCGAGGCCGAAAGGCGUAGUCGAUGGGAAACAGGUUAAUAUUCCUGUACUUGGUGUUACUGCGAAGGGGGGACGGAGAAGGCUAUGUUGGCCGGGCGACGGUUGUCCCGGUUUAAGCGUGUAGGCUGGUUUUCCAGGCAAAUCCGGAAAAUCAAGGCUGAGGCGUGAUGACGAGGCACUACGGUGCUGAAGCAACAAAUGCCCUGCUUCCAGGAAAAGCCUCUAAGCAUCAGGUAACAUCAAAUCGUACCCCAAACCGACACAGGUGGUCAGGUAGAGAAUACCAAGGCGCUUGAGAGAACUCGGGUGAAGGAACUAGGCAAAAUGGUGCCGUAACUUCGGGAGAAGGCACGCUGAUAUGUAGGUGAAGUCCCUCGCGGAUGGAGCUGAAAUCAGUCGAAGAUACCAGCUGGCUGCAACUGUUUAUUAAAAACACAGCACUGUGCAAACACGAAAGUGGACGUAUACGGUGUGACGCCUGCCCGGUGCCGGAAGGUUAAUUGAUGGGGUUAGCCGCAAGGCGAAGCUCUUGAUCGAAGCCCCGGUAAACGGCGGCCGUAACUAUAACGGUCCUAAGGUAGCGAAAUUCCUUGUCGGGUAAGUUCCGACCUGCACGAAUGGCGUAAUGAUGGCCAGGCUGUCUCCACCCGAGACUCAGUGAAAUUGAACUCGCUGUGAAGAUGCAGUGUACCCGCGGCAAGACGGAAAGACCCCGUGAACCUUUACUAUAGCUUGACACUGAACAUUGAGCCUUGAUGUGUAGGAUAGGUGGGAGGCUUUGAAGUGUGGACGCCAGUCUGCAUGGAGCCGACCUUGAAAUACCACCCUUUAAUGUUUGAUGUUCUAACGUUGACCCGUAAUCCGGGUUGCGGACAGUGUCUGGUGGGUAGUUUGACUGGGGCGGUCUCCUCCUAAAGAGUAACGGAGGAGCACGAAGGUUGGCUAAUCCUGGUCGGACAUCAGGAGGUUAGUGCAAUGGCAUAAGCCAGCUUGACUGCGAGCGUGACGGCGCGAGCAGGUGCGAAAGCAGGUCAUAGUGAUCCGGUGGUUCUGAAUGGAAGGGCCAUCGCUCAACGGAUAAAAGGUACUCCGGGGAUAACAGGCUGAUACCGCCCAAGAGUUCAUAUCGACGGCGGUGUUUGGCACCUCGAUGUCGGCUCAUCACAUCCUGGGGCUGAAGUAGGUCCCAAGGGUAUGGCUGUUCGCCAUUUAAAGUGGUACGCGAGCUGGGUUUAGAACGUCGUGAGACAGUUCGGUCCCUAUCUGCCGUGGGCGCUGGAGAACUGAGGGGGGCUGCUCCUAGUACGAGAGGACCGGAGUGGACGCAUCACUGGUGUUCGGGUUGUCAUGCCAAUGGCACUGCCCGGUAGCUAAAUGCGGAAGAGAUAAGUGCUGAAAGCAUCUAAGCACGAAACUUGCCCCGAGAUGAGUUCUCCCUGACCCUUUAAGGGUCCUGAAGGAACGUUGAAGACGACGACGUUGAUAGGCCGGGUGUGUAAGCGCAGCGAUGCGUUGAGCUAACCGGUACUAAUGAACCGUGAGGCUUAACCUUACAACGCCGAAGCUGUU
Molecule: ribosomal RNA, 2931 nt
Filed under: Escherichia coli
Lineage: Bacteria; Pseudomonadati; Pseudomonadota; Gammaproteobacteria; Enterobacterales; Enterobacteriaceae
Also listed under: 1 other name
Description: bacterial LSU rRNA
Rfam family: Bacterial large subunit ribosomal RNA
Source: RNAcentral